UAGGGAAUCUUCCGCAAUGGGCGAAAGCCUGACGGAGCAACGCCGCGUGAGUGAGGAAGGUCUUCGGAUCGUAAAACUCUGUUAUUAGGGAAGAACAAAUGUGUAAGUAACUAUGCACGUCUUGACGGUACCUAAUCAGAAAGCCACGGCUAACUACGUGCCAGCAGCCGCGGUAAUACGUAGGUGGCAAGCGUUAUCCGGAAUUAUUGGGCGUAAAGCGCGCGUAGGCGGUUUUUUAAGUCUGAUGUGAAAGCCCACGGCUCAACCGUGGAGGGUCAUUGGAAACUGGAAAACGUGAGUGCAGAAGAGGAAAGUGGAAUUCCAGGUGUAGCGGUGAAAUGCGCAGAGAUAUGGAGGAACACCAGUGGCGAAGGCGACUUUCUGGUCUGUAACUGACGCUGCUGUGCGAAAGCGUGGGGAUCAAACAGG
Molecule: ribosomal RNA, 429 nt
Filed under: Actinomycetes bacterium
Lineage: Bacteria; Bacillati; Actinomycetota; Actinomycetes
Description: Actinobacteria bacterium partial 16S ribosomal RNA
Rfam family: Bacterial small subunit ribosomal RNA
Source: RNAcentral